Molecule: non-coding RNA, 279 nt
Filed under: unidentified
Source: RNAcentral
UACACUCGCCGCACUUUUGGUGCUCGCGCCGGCAUUCUUCGCGGACGCAGUCAAACGGGAAACAGGGCGCGAAUCCGGCAAGGACGAGCCAACCUGUGCUGCCCUCGCAACGGUAAGCGACCGCAACGCAAGUUGCAAGUCGUUCCAGGCGCGUUUUUACAAGCGGCUUCAUUCAUCGAACGCUCUGCAAGAAACGUGACCACGCCACUGCGCACUUUGCGCGGGAAGGCGGAACGAUGCGUCGCCAGCCCGGAUACCGGCCAAUCGUCCAGCGCGUUU